GAUUCACGCAUAUUCAAAACAUUAGAGAGAAAUUAAAUAAUGUGUACGAGGAAUUGUUUAGAAGAUUCCAACAAUACAUUGCAGCAGACGACCAUCAUUUUAAAUACUUAUAGCCGAAACAUCAAUGAAUUCCAAAGUAUCUCCUAAGAUAUUUUAAAUGCUUAUGAAUGUGUACAUUCGAAUGUGCGAAUCAGUGUGCUGUGGAACCCGCGAUAUCAUGUGCGCAGUAACUCCAAUUACAAUAUCAAAUAUCAAAAAUAAAUUAGCAAUAUAUUAUAUGCAUUAUAUAAUUGCAAUAUAUUAACAAAUAUCUUAAAAAUAAAUGAUCGUGUGGUUCUGAAUAGAUUAUUGAAUUUGUUUUACAUUCUCUACAAAAAUAUCCAAUAUAGGUUAAUCAUAAAAAAUGAAAAUAACGAUGAUCUUGAGAUCUUGUAAAUAAACGAUCAUUGGAAAAAAGAUAUUUCUAGCAUUACAUUUGUUUCUUAAAAUAGUGCAACUUUGUUCUCAGAAGUUUUUUUCUUUGUACCAGAAAAAUAGUGAAGAUAUUUUAGGUGAUUUCAUUUAGCUGGUCCACUCUAUAUAUACUUACACAAUGUAAUAUAAUUUAACAAUAAAAUUUAAGUAUAUAUUGCUUAAAAGCUAAACAUGUUUAUUUACUCAUCAAUUAAUAUUUUAAUUUUACAAUUAAACAAAAAUAACUAAACUAUUUAUUACAAACUAUUUGUUAAUUACAGAAUAGUAUUUUCUUAAUGUGAUAGUGAAUUAGAGGUCCAAAGAGAUAAUACUAAAAAUAUACACUCACUUGAACAUAUAAAUUUAAAUCUUUGUUUGCUACUAUUUCUCAUUACUGCCAAUGUCAGGGAGAGGAUGCUGGGAACAGUGAAAAACAAAUAAAAAAAAGGGAAAAAUGAAUUAAAUAUUAUUAAUCUUUUCCUUUCUACUUUUGGAAUGAUCUUAUUAGAAUUUCAUGAGGAUAACAAAUACGAGAUGGCCACCAACGAUAAUUACCAAGUUUAACCCAUACAACCUCUCCAUAUAGAGGCAAUCUACCUGUUUCACAAUCUUCACAAUGAAAUGCACCUUCUGGGGGGGCAUUACCCAAACAUUCCAUGUGAAAUGACGUUGGACAUGUAUCACAACAGAUAAGACUUCCACCUCUUGUACAUAAAAAACACCAUGCUGCGUUUACUGGAGGAUGUGGUGC
This is a long non-coding RNA of Frieseomelitta varia, 1204 nucleotides long. RefSeq lists it as uncharacterized. Lineage: Eukaryota; Metazoa; Arthropoda; Insecta; Hymenoptera; Apidae. The transcript has 3 exons. The record is from RefSeq and is a predicted model, not a curated record.